ACCACUGUCAAUCUAUCUAUCACUGCUAAUCUAUACUGCUGUCAAUCUAUUUAUUACUGCUAAUCUAUUACUGCUGUCAAUCUAUCUACUGCUGUCAAUCUAUCUAUCACUGUCAAUCUAUCUACUACUGCUAAUCUAUCACUGCUAAUCUAUCACUGCUAAUCUAUUGCUGCUAAUCUAUCUAUCACUGUUAAUCUAUCACUGUCAAUCUAUCUACUGCUGUCAAUCUAUCUAUCACUGUCAAUUUAUCUACUGCUGUCAAUCUAUCUACCACUGUUAAUCUAUCACUGUUAAUCUAUCACUGCUAAUCUAUUGCUGCUAAUCUAUCUAUCACUGUUAAUCUAUUGCUGUCAAUCUAUCUACUGCUAUCAAUCUAUCUACUGCUAUCAAUCUAUCUAUCACUGCC
RNAcentral lists this small RNA (406 nucleotides) under Histoplasma capsulatum. Its description in RNAcentral is "hypothetical RNA". The record is from RNAcentral. RNAcentral also lists the same sequence under 1 other name. Lineage: Eukaryota; Fungi; Ascomycota; Eurotiomycetes; Onygenales; Ajellomycetaceae.